GGAGUGGAACACCAGUUAAAGUCAUUCUGUGGUAUUGUUUUGGAUUGACUGGAGUGCCAUUUUCUUGUAUUUCUUGUGUUUUUGAGAGUAGUAGUUGCAGUUAAGAGUUAUCAAUGAGGAGCCGAUCACAAGUGUCGAUUGAAGAUGUUCCAGAAUAGAUGAGUCAGCAGCAGCAACAAUUAGAAUUUUGAGAUGUCCAGAUCUUGAAACUGGAUGCUCAAGUCCAUGUACUGGGUGAGUACAAUAAAGACCUUUUAGCUCAAUUGAGGCAGGAGU
Molecule: long non-coding RNA, 276 nt
Filed under: Physcomitrium patens
Lineage: Eukaryota; Viridiplantae; Streptophyta; Bryopsida; Funariales; Funariaceae
Description: long non-coding RNA (PPAT_LNC002774)
Source: RNAcentral